CUGUCCAUCAAGAACCCAGCAAUGAGCAAACAAUAGACUGCAAGCUUUCUCAUGGAACAAUAAUGGGCACCAACAAGGUUUAAAAGGUCCAGUUAGAUAAUGGCAUAGCUCGACUGGGUCCUGUUGGCCAUCCCGACACCGGUGGCCACCAUAGAUAAGAUACCAGGCCAGCCACGGCAGAGACAGUGCUGCCCCUUGCCGAUCCACCGGUAGACCGGUGCCAAAUGGGAGCCACC
This 236-nucleotide long non-coding RNA is filed under the name Elaeis guineensis (African oil palm). RNAcentral describes it as "long non-coding RNA (EGUI_LNC030618)". Lineage: Eukaryota; Viridiplantae; Streptophyta; Magnoliopsida; Arecales; Arecaceae. The record is from RNAcentral.